AUUGUCUCUGUGGGAUUGGCAGCACUUUCAAUAACAGCUGUGACAGUCAACAUGUGGACAAAAACUAAAGGGAAGAAAACACAGAUGGAUAAAAACACACUGACACACUGAAAGAAAACCAGCAGGAUGCAAAGCAAAAGAAUUUGAACAACAAAUCACAAAUGAACAAAACGCGACGCACCCCACUGCGCAAGGUGACGUCAGAGUGACGUUUUUAUACGUCAGUCCACUGAAGGGAUUGUUUUGGAACGCCAGGCGACGUCUUUUUUCUGAUGUCUACUUAAAGUUAAGUGUUGAUAUCUGUACGGUCUCCGUGUACGGGCUAUUUAUAGUCCAAAUUUGGUUGUGGACGACUUUUCAACGUCAAACUUAGACUC
This is a long non-coding RNA of Oreochromis aureus, 377 nucleotides long. The record is from Ensembl. NCBI's taxonomy places the organism in Eukaryota, Metazoa, Chordata, Actinopteri, Cichliformes, Cichlidae.